This 218-nucleotide long non-coding RNA is filed under the name Physcomitrium patens. Its description in RNAcentral is "long non-coding RNA (PPAT_LNC005984)". Lineage: Eukaryota; Viridiplantae; Streptophyta; Bryopsida; Funariales; Funariaceae. The record is from RNAcentral.
UCUUGAUAUUGCAAUAAAGAAACCAUACCUUGUCACCCACGUAGAAUGAUGGUUGUUCCUUAUUAUAGACAUCUGCAUUGAUUUUUUGUUAUUCUUGAGCUUCUUUUAACUAUGCCUUCAUUGUUGCAUGUAGCUCUGAUAAAUAAUUUGCCAAAUCUUCCACUGCAAGAUAAUCAGCUUUUAAAAAGUCAAAAGUAUAAAGUCUUGGAUAAUAACCA